Molecule: ribosomal RNA, 433 nt
Filed under: uncultured bacterium
Lineage: Bacteria
Description: partial 16S ribosomal RNA
Rfam family: Bacterial small subunit ribosomal RNA
Source: RNAcentral
AACGAACGCUGGCGGCAUGCCUAACACAUGCAAGUCGAACGAGACCUUCGGGUCUAGUGGCGCACGGGUGCGUAACGCGUGGGAACCCGCCUUUAGGUUCGGAAUAACUCAGAGAAAUUUGAGCUAAUACCGGACGAUGUCUUCGGACCAAAGAUUUAUCGCCUUUAGAUGGGCCCGCGUUGGAUUAGCUAGUUGGUGGGGUAAAGGCCUACCAAGGAGACGAUCCAUAGCUGGUCUGAGAGGAUGAUCAGCCACACUGGGACUGAGACACGGCCCAGACUCCUACGGGAGGCAGCAGUGGGGAAUAUUGGACAAUGGGCGAAAGCCUGAUCCAGCAAUGCCGCGUGAGUGAUGAAGGCCUUAGGGUUGUAAAGCUCUUUUACCCGAGAUGAUAAUGACAGUAUCGGGAGAAUAAGCUCCGGCUAACUCCGUG